GUGCCGGCCGCCGCGGUAAUACCGGCAGCACGAGUGAUGGCCGAUAUUAUUGGGCCUAAAGCGUCCGUAGCCGGCCGGACAAGUCCGUUGGGAAAUCGACGCGCCUAACGCGUCGGCGUCCAGCGGAAACUGUCCGGCUUGGGGCCGAAAGACUCGAGGGGUACGUCCGGGGUAGGAGUGAAAUCCUGUAAUCCUGGACGGACCGCCGGUGGCGAAAGCGCCUCGAGAGGACGGACCCGACGGUGAGGGACGAAAGCCAGGGUCUCCAACCGGAUUAGAAACCCUGAGUCC
RNAcentral lists this ribosomal RNA (291 nucleotides) under uncultured bacterium. RNAcentral describes it as "partial 16S ribosomal RNA". It matches the Rfam family "Archaeal small subunit ribosomal RNA", at positions 455 to 747 of the family's 1478-position model. The record is from RNAcentral.